Molecule: ribosomal RNA, 818 nt
Filed under: uncultured bacterium
Lineage: Bacteria
Description: SSU rRNA
Rfam family: Bacterial small subunit ribosomal RNA
Source: RNAcentral
UCGCGCGAUGAGAUCUCUUCUUGGUAUGGAUUACCGGCGUACGGCGUGAGGAACACAUGAAGAAUCUGCCUUCAACUCUGGGAUAACACCGGGAAACCGGUGCUAAUACCGGAUAUGAGCCUUGAUCGCAUGAUCGGGGCUGGAAAGUUUUUCGGUUGAAGGUGACUUCGCGGCCUAUCAGCUUGUUGGUGAGGUAAUGGCUCACCAAGGCGACGACGGGUAGCCGGCCUGAGAGGGCGACCGGCCACACUGGGACUGAGACACGGCCCAGACUCCUACGGGAGGCAGCAGUGGGGAAUAUUGGGCAAUGGACGAAAGUCUGACCCAGCGACGCCGCGUGAGGGAUGAAGGCCUUCGGGUUGUAAACCUCUUUCAGCAGGGAAGAAGCGAAAGUGACGGUACCUGCAGAAGAAGCACCGGCUAACUAUGUGCCAGCAGCCGCGGUAAUACAUAGGGUGCAAGCGUUGUCCGGAAUUAUUGGGCGUAAAGAGCUCGUAGGUGGUUAGUUACGUCGGAUGUGAAAAUCUAGGGCUCAACCCUAGACCUGCAUCCGAUACGGGCUAGCUUGAGUUUGGUAGGGGAGACUGGAAUUCCUGGUGUAGCGGUGGAAUGCGCAUAUAUCAGGAGGAACACCAAUGGCGAAAGCAGGUCUCUGGGCCAAUACUGACACUGAGGAGCGAAAGUGUGGGGAGCGAACAGGAUUAGAUACCCUGGUAGUCCACACAGUAAACGAUGGGCACUAGUUGUGGGAACCUUUCCCGGUUUCUGCGACGCAGCUAACGCAUUAAGUGCCCCCCCCUGGGGGAGUACGAUCGCAA